ACCUCAGGUUAUUGAUCAAACUAUUCUGGUGAUGUUGCUGGAAUAAAGAUUUUAAAUCCUUCCACCAGGGAGAAUUAUCAGCAUUGCCUCUACCAUGUAAUAAGGCAUGCCAUCCCCCAUAGAUAGACACUAAAGUUCUUGCCCAAAGCUGGUGAGGAUUAUUUGCCAGCUGCCACCCCCAUUUACCUAGCAAAGCUUCAUUAAACUUGUUCAGAUCUUUAAUGCCCAAUCCACCUCUAGCUUUAGGUAAACAAACCGUAUCCCAUUUUACC
This 272-nucleotide unclassified non-coding RNA is filed under the name uncultured bacterium. RNAcentral's name for it is "contains 16S-23S intergenic spacer region". The record is from RNAcentral.